AGUGAACGCUGGCGGUAGGCCUAACACAUGCAAGUCGAACGGCAGCACAGAGGAGCUUGCUCCUUGGGUGGCGAGUGGCGGACGGGUGAGGAAUACAUCGGAAUCUACUCUGUCGUGGGGGAUAACGUAGGGAAACUUACGCUAAUACCGCAUACGACCUACGGGUGAAAGCAGGGGACGUUCGGGCCUUGCGCGAUUGAAUGAGCCGAUGUCGGAUUAGCUAGUUGGCGGGGAAAAGGCCCACCAAGGGGACGAUCCGGAGCUGGUCUGAGAGGAUGAUCAGCCACACUGGAACUGAGACACGGUCCAGACUCCUACGGGAGGCAGCAGUGGGGAAUAUUGGACAAUGGGCGCAAGCCUGAUCCAGCCAUACCGCGUGGGUGAAGAAGGCCUUCGGGUUGUAAAGCCCUUUUGUUGGGAAAGAAAUCCAGCUGGCUAAUACCCGGUUGGGAUGACGGUACCCAAAGAAUAAGCACCGGCUAACUUCGUGCCAGCCGCCGCGGUAA
RNAcentral lists this ribosomal RNA (506 nucleotides) under uncultured bacterium. RNAcentral describes it as "partial 16S ribosomal RNA". It matches the Rfam family "Bacterial small subunit ribosomal RNA", at positions 29 to 523 of the family's 1533-position model. The record is from RNAcentral.